GCGCAACUGAUAUCUUCACUUACAAAACAAACACAUGACGCGUUGCAUAACAAAGUGGUUUAUGAAACACAUUCUGCCGUCUCCCUUUAUUGAAGCCAUUCAAGUGCAGUGAAAAAAUAUCGUUCGUCCAAUCAGCCUCGAAGCCUAAGGAUUCUAAGAUAACUCACCCCCAAACGGCGAGCCAGACGCAAACGCAAGAGACACCACAAAGAAGUACAGCCCCAAAGCUUUAGUACGCAUGCGCGGAAUAGUCAUCUGAUAGACGAUCAUGAAGACUGCUGUUGCGUAGCCGCCAUUUGCAAAACCAUUUACGGUAAAGUACCCUAUGAGUCCCGCAAAUGAAUCGAGCUGCGGGACGAGAAGUGUCGAAACACCAGCGACCAUCGUCGAGAGAAAGUACAUGUACAGCGGGCUUACGCAGGGGAGGUCACAAAGCCGACCAAUCAGAACACGUCCAACUGUUGAGCCGACCCCGAAGUCGACAUAAAGGAGAGCAGACCGGUGCGAAGGAAUACCAACGUCCUGUGAGUAACGACCCUACAAGGAAAGGAAAAAGUCUGUUAUAGUAUUUUUAUAUUUGAUUUCUAAUGAACGCUUGGUCUAUUUUCACUGUGACUCUCUUGAAUGUCACCCUUCUCUAUAUGGGUAUACUGUGACUCUCUUGAAUGUCACGCUUAUCUACUGUGACUCUCUUAAAUGUCACGCUUCUGUAUAUAGGUAUACUGUGACUCUCUUGAAAGUAACUUUUCUAUAUGGGUAUUAUACUAUGACUCUUUUGAAUGUCACGCUUCUAUAUAUAGGUAUACUGUGACUCUCUUGAAAGUCACGCUUCUAUAUAUAGGUAUACUGUGACUCUCUUGAAAGUCACUUUUCUAUAUGGGUAUUAUACUAUGACUCUUUUGAAUGUCACGCUUCUAUAUAUAGGUAUAAUGUGACUCUCUUGAAAGUCACGCUACUUACCAAAUGUAGUAGUGGGAUUGUCCCGCCAAAAUCCAUAACAAAACCAGUUGCACAGCAGGCUAGUAGUUUUCUGUUACGAGGCCGAUUGAGAGGGCAAGUGCUAAGGAUCCGACCCAAGCUAAAAAAGAAAGCAGAUUUGAAAAACUUGUUAGUUGAAUUACUCCAAAUGCCAUAAAUAUAGACUUUCUCAAUGUCCGUUGUUCGGCUUGGAAGAAAUUUGCUUUUGCUGUGCAAGUCGUCCUCUCCGCGCGCCCGUUUCUGUUUGCUUGGCUGAGGAAAAUACCCAUUAGAUUGCGCGCUCUUUUUAGAGAAAAUCAAAGAGGACGUCUUGGGGCAAGUCUAGCCAUAUUAUUACAAGACAUCAACGACAAUUGUUUUGAAAUCGGUGAUUAAUAACACGUUUCUAGGCAUUCAAGUUCGAGUAGUAGAAUUGUUUCAAAGUCGAGAAAACAUUUUCGUUUCCUCCCUCUUUUCGUUUCUGUUUUUCAACUUACUCUAAGUUCCAGAGUGGGAAUUAAUUUCGACGAUAGAGCUUCCAUAAAGGAAAAAGGCUUUCUCCGAAAAAAUAUUGCCAUCCCCGCACCUCCCAAAAAUAAGGUUUUGUUAACUGACCUGUGGUACCCUUCCCAUAUCCGAAUUCAUCCAGAAGUACAGGGAAGAGAAUACCAAACGUAAGUAUGCAACCCCAAAUCAGCAAAUUCGCUAACGUCGCGAGCAGACAAAUGACCCACGCCAUAGCACCAUAGUCUUUAGUAUAGAUCCGACAUCUUUGUUGUUAACUGCCACUGGGUCGAUGCCAUCCAUUCCCUCACUUCAACUCGUCUGUGAACAAAAUACUCCACAUUUAAUUCUGCCCGAAUACAAUGUUCCCCCCUUUUUUUCUUGGCGCUAUAAGCAAGAGUGGGGGACAUUGGUAGCAAAUAAAAUAAGAAAAACACUGUUUGCGGAGUGGGGGGUUGCACUAAAAAAGAAACAUUAUCUGAAUUGUUUUAUGAUACAUGAUCGUAUAGUUGUUAGCGUUAUAUUAUUUGAAGUAUUAGCUGCUUUAUGUUAUAGGGCUAGAGGAGGGUAAACCGAAAAAAACGAAUCAGCCCGCUCAAAACUCUGGCUACGGGCUGAUUAUAUGUACUAUUAUUAUACAUUUAGACUUGCCCCAAGUCGCCCUCUUUGAUUUUCCCUGACAGGAGCGCGCGGGUGGGUUUUUUCCUCGAAAGUCAGUAAAAAAAAUAAGGCGCGAGGAGAGGACGACUAGUCCGUUGUACAGCAGAAGCCAAUUUUCUAAAAAAGAUGGUCAGCGGACUUUGAGAAAGUCUAUUAUACAUUGUACUUACUAUGCUGAUUCUGAUUGGCGUUUUAUUUAGAUGAUCACGCAAUCUGAGUGUCUUGAGUGGUCUACGCGCGCGAUGCAUGUUGGGCUAGGGCGCGAAGAUUCGAUUGUGAGAAAUGGCGGCCUUUGUGCAUAUCGGGAAUGAAAUUUUGUUUUCGAGAAAGUGUUUUUUACUGAAUCAAUGUAUAAUUGCCUGCUUGUGCCUGAUUACAAUUGUCACGACAUUGAUUAUUCCGGAUAUCACUUAAACCUCAUCCAAUAAUUGUUUGUACUAUUAAACCAAAUUCCAUGGCCCAUUUUUAUUUGCUAUUCUUAUAAGUGCGCUGUCAUGGAUAUGAAAAAAGCACAAAGACUCGUAAACCACAAACUAAGAUCCUGUCCACACGUUUUUCUUCGUUUUACACCUCCCACCCACACGUAUCUAGCGUAUUCGGGUACCAUAAACAGAGGUUUUCGAGUACGGCCUCCAGAGUGGAAGUUUUUGAAACUCAGUGGCAACAUGCCCGACUGUCGGGAAAGUCCUCAAUGGACUAAAUAAAUGCCUGACAGUUUUCAAUUUAUUCAAAUAACCCCAGUAAAUAGUCGAACCACUGAGUUCAAAUUGUUCUAUAUUUGUUAAAAAAGGGCAACAAUCUGAGUUGGGCUUCGUCGUUCAAUACCGACAGAAAAGCUGAAUUCAGAUUCGCAUGCCCUUUCCCAACAAAUAUAGAAUACUUUGAACUCAUUGGUCGGCAAUUUACCGUGAUAUUUUCGUAAAUUAAUAACUGCUGACAUGCCGCAUGUUGUAGAAAAUCCCUAAAGCCCCGUGCAAACUGCGCCAGCAUGUUGUAGAAAAUCCCUAAAGCCCCGUGCAACCUGCGCCAGCAUGUUGUAGAAAAUCCCUAAAGCCCCGUGCAAACUGCGCCAGCAUGUUGUAGAAAAUCCCUAAAGCCCCGUGCAAACUGCGCCAGCAUGUUGUAGAAAAUCCCUAAAGCCCAGUGCAAACUGCGCCAGCAUGUUGUAGAAAAUCCCUAAAGCCCCGUGCAAACUGCGCCAGCAUGUUGUAGAAAAUACCUAAAGUCCCGUGCAAACUGCGCCAGCAUGUUGUAGAAAAUCCCUAAAGCCCCGUGCAAACUGCGCCAGCAUGUUGUAUAAAAUCCCUAAAGCCCCGUUCAAACUGCGCCAGCAUGUUGUAUAAAAUCCCUAAAGCCCCGUUCAAACUGCGCCAGCACGUCUGGCGAGAGGUUGGCCCAGUAAUUCUGGCGCAGUUUGAACACCGUGUUGGGCAGUGCUGGCGGGAGCUGGCGAAAUUUUGAUUGAGUUCAAACUUUUGGCCAGCACUUCGCCAACAUCUUCUCGCUUUGGUCUAUCGAGCAUAUCACAGGUUUGCUGGCGCAGUUUGCACACCAACCCAUCAAUGCUGGGCUCAUUUGAAUCGUUUCCAUAGCGAAAAUAGCUAUCGUCCAAAUAAUAUGCUGUCAUUUCAAAGAGAAUAAAAGCUACCGCAUCUA
Nematostella vectensis (starlet sea anemone) is the source of this 3777-nucleotide long non-coding RNA. RefSeq lists it as uncharacterized. Lineage: Eukaryota; Metazoa; Cnidaria; Anthozoa; Actiniaria; Edwardsiidae. The transcript has 2 exons. The record is from RefSeq and is a predicted model, not a curated record.